GCUAUACAUGCAGUCGAGCGAAUCGGAGGGAGCUUGCUCCCAAAGAUUAGCGGCGGACGGGUGAGUAACACGUGGGCAACCUGCCUGUAAGACUGGGAUAACUUCGGGAAACCGGAGCUAAUACCGGAUAAUCCUUUCCCUCACAUGAGGGAAAGCUGAAAGACGGUUUCGGCUGUCACUUACAGAUGGGCCCGCGGCGCAUUAGCUAGUUGGUGAGGUAACGGCUCACCAAGGCGACGAUGCGUAGCCGACCUGAGAGGGUGAUCGGCCACACUGGGACUGAGACACGGCCCAGACUCCUACGGGAGGCAGCAGUAGGGAAUCUUCCGCAAUGGACGAAAGUCUGACGGAGCAACGCCGCGUGAGCGAAGAAGGCCUUCGGGUCGUAAAGCUCUGUUGUCAGGGAAGAACAAGUGCCGGAGUAACUGCCGGCACCUUGACGGUACCUGACCAGAAAGCCACGGCUAACUACGUGCCAGCAGCCGCGGUAAUACGUAGGUGGCAAGCGUUGUCCGGAAUUAUUGGGCGUAAAGCGCGCGCAGGCGGUCCUUUAAGUCUGAUGUGAAAGCCCACGGCUCAACCGUGGAGGGUCAUUGGAAACUGGGGGACUUGAGUGCAGAAGAGGAGAGUGGAAUUCCACGUGUAGCGGUGAAAUGCGUAGAGAUGUGGAGGAACACCAGUGGCGAAGGCGACUCUCUGGUCUGUAACUGACGCUGAGGCGCGAAAGCGUGGGGAGCGAACAGGAUUAGAUACCCUGGUAGUCCACGCCGUAAACGAUGAGUGCUAAGUGGUUAGAGGGUUUCCGCCCUUUAGUGCUGCAGCAAACGCAUUAAGCACUCCGCCUGGGGGAGUACGGCCGCAAGGCUGAAACUCAAAGGAAUUGACGGGGGCCCGCACAAGCGGUGGAGCAUGUGGUUUAAUUCGAAGCAACGCGAAGAACCUUACCAGGUCUUGACAUCCUCUGACAACCCUAGAAGAUAGGGCGUUCCCCUUCGGGGGACAGAAUGACAGGUGGGUGCAUGGUUGUCGUCAGCUCCUGUCCUGAGAAGUUGGGGUUAAAUCCCGCAACCAAGCGCAACCCUUGAUCUUAUUUGCCACCAUUCAGUUGGGCACUCUAAGGGAAUGGCCGGGGACAACCCGAAGAA
This 1145-nucleotide ribosomal RNA is filed under the name Mesobacillus foraminis. Its description in RNAcentral is "bacterial SSU rRNA". It matches the Rfam family "Bacterial small subunit ribosomal RNA", at positions 48 to 1170 of the family's 1533-position model. The record is from RNAcentral. Lineage: Bacteria; Bacillati; Bacillota; Bacilli; Caryophanales; Bacillaceae.